GACGAACGCUGGCGGCGUGCUUAACACAUGCAAGUCGAACGGAAAGGCCCUGCUUUUGUGGGGUGCUCGAGUGGCGAACGGGUGAGUAACACGUGAGUAACCUGCCCUUGACUUUGGGAUAACUUCAGGAAACUGGGGCUAAUACCGGAUAGGAGCUCCUGCUGCAUGGUGGGGGUUGGAAAGUUUCGGCGGUUGGGGAUGGACUCGCGGCUUAUCAGCUUGUUGGUGGGGUAGUGGCUUACCAAGGCUUUGACGGGUAGCCGGCCUGAGAGGGUGACCGGCCACAUUGGGACUGAGAUACGGCCCAGACUCCUACGGGAGGCAGCAGUGGGGAAUAUUGCACAAUGGGCGGAAGCCUGAUGCAGCAACGCCGCGUGC
Molecule: ribosomal RNA, 378 nt
Filed under: uncultured bacterium
Lineage: Bacteria
Description: bacterial SSU rRNA
Rfam family: Bacterial small subunit ribosomal RNA
Source: RNAcentral